UACACAUUUGAAGACAAAUUAGAAAAUGCAGAACUCAAAUAUGGUUCAGGUUAUCACCACUCAGCCAAUAAGUGGAAAUUUCCGUCCUACAACUGACUGGAGCACUGGUGUAUGUGAGUGUGUUGAUGAUAUGGGAGUCUGUCUUCUUGGUCUAUUUUGUCCUUGCAUUUUGGGCUACAUGAUUGCCAGUGAAAUGGACGAAUGUUGUAUCUGUGGCUGUACUUUCGUCAUGAAGUGUCUAUAGAGCAAAGUAUAAUAUACCGGGGACAAUGUGCGAUGACUGGAUGUUGUAUUAUUGCUGUCCACAAUUAGGAAUGUGUCAGCUUAUGAGAGAGCUUAAAAGCAGGAAGGCAGCAGUCCACUAAUACGAGCCAUAGAUUCUUACUGGUGACUGUCUACUUCUGCUAUCAAGCUAUUGAAGAUGGAAUUUUAAAGUGUCUUCAGAAGUGUUUAUUUACUAGUACUAUUACCAGAAAAUUAAUUAAUCCAUUUUUUCAGGCAGAAUUUUUUUCACUAUGCUGUAUAGAGAUAAUUUUUCUGAAAAUGUCAAACACCUAAAUAUAUAUCACUGUGGUAGUUUUAGCAAUUAAAGUUCAGAACAUGCUGAAGUUGGUUUAAAAUGCAAACUCUUCAUGCUGCAGUCAUUCUAAUCCUUUUUCCAUCAAAUGUUAAUCAGACAGAGACAAAUAUAUAAUAUGAAUUUUUAUAAAAAACAAGAGUGGGCAGCAGUAAUAACAGCACUGGGCAUUCAUUGCAUCGGUGCUCAUUUUUCCUGUAUCAUGACUUCAGUUUAUUUCCUAUCUUAACCUGAUUAACACUGUAAAUGUAAGAUUUGUUUUUAAGAUUUCUAUAUUCUUCUCAAAUGAGAACUUGCUACAUUACAUUCAAACUUCCUAAUAUAGCUCAACCCAUUUAGUUUUUUAUUAGAUCUGUAUGCUCAUUGUUACAUUAAGUCAACUCGAAUUUAUCUGUUCUUCAGAAAUCAUGAUGGAUGAAGUAAAAAAAAAUCAUCAAAUACAAACUUUUCUGAUUUAAAGUAAAUGCUAUAGCCAACUUAUCCCCUGUAUCCAUCUCUAAAAUAUGUGCUUCAGGUUCAAAAAUAGUUCUCGUUCUGCCAACAAACUAGAUUACAUUCUUAAAGUGAUAUUCUUUUGCUAAUAUAUUUCAAAAUCUUUAUUCUAGUUUCCUUCCUGCAUAACUAGUACACCUAAUGUUUAUCUUUUUUUCAAAAUUAACUAGUUUUACUGAAACUUUCUAAUUUUUAUACUUUAUUUUAAGAAAUCCUUUAAAGUAAAAGAGAUUAUUGAUGCUGUCAACUCUAAAGACAUAAUGCUGUUGAACGUGUUCACUUUACAUGUGAAGUCUAUAGAUUGUAAACAAAAUUAUCAAACAUUGUAAUGAUUCCUUUUAACUAUUUUUUUAAGCAAAUCAAAAACUGUCUUCAUUCCUGAACCUAACACUGAUGUACAAACCUUGCUCAUAGGUUUAUAGGUUCAUAGGUAGAUACUAGGCUAUUGGCCCUAGGGCCUAUACAAGCCUAGCCAAAAUGUUAA
Molecule: long non-coding RNA, 1553 nt
Organism: Protopterus annectens (West African lungfish)
Lineage: Eukaryota; Metazoa; Chordata; Ceratodontiformes; Protopteridae
Exons: 4
Source: RefSeq, a predicted model, not a curated record